Molecule: unclassified non-coding RNA, 398 nt
Filed under: fungal sp.
Lineage: Eukaryota; Fungi
Description: partial internal transcribed spacer region
Rfam family: Eukaryotic small subunit ribosomal RNA (bases 1-46)
Source: RNAcentral
AAGUCGUAACAAGGUUUCCGUAGGUGAACCUGCGGAAGGAUCAUUCACACACGUUAGUCAUGUUGGCUGUGCGGUUCGCUGCAUGGUCGGCCUGCAACCCAAACCAAAUCCACUGAGCUACGUACAACCCUUUAUAAAAAGACAGGCACUGGGUAUGAAGCUUUCUCUGCUCCUCAGACGUUAAACGCCGGGACCCGACAUAGCAUGAAUCUGGGCAACCGGAGUAAUUGUUAUGGCCAAAUAAUUGAAGACCCUCGGAUUCCAACCCCGUUGGUCGACCCACCUUCACUGGCUUUCCCUGGCAACAGGGGCUGCCUUACAUUUUGUCGAAAAACCGCUGGCGAAAGCUGGCACUACGUAAUACCAUACAACUCUUUGCAAUGGAUAUCUUGGUUCUC